CCCUUAGAUGUUCUGGGCCGCACGCGCGCUACACUGAUGCAUUCAACGAGUCUAAAACCUGCUCUGAUAGGGGUGGGUAAUCUUUUGAAUGUGCAUCGUGAUUGGGAUAGAUGAUUGCAAUUUUUCAUCUUCAACGAGGAAUGCCUAGUAAACGCAAGUCAUCAGCUUGCAUUGAUUGCGUCCCUGCCCUUUGUACACACCGCCCGUCGCUCCUACCGAUUGAAUGAUCCGAUGAAUAUCAUGGAUUGAGGAUGCAAGCAGGUUCGCCUGUCUUCAUCUUCGAGAAGUGAAGUAAAUCUUAUCAUUUAGAGGAAGGAGAAGUCGUAACA
Molecule: ribosomal RNA, 329 nt
Filed under: uncultured eukaryote
Lineage: Eukaryota
Description: partial 18S ribosomal RNA
Rfam family: Eukaryotic small subunit ribosomal RNA
Source: RNAcentral